UACAGAGGGCCCAAGCGUUGUUCGGAUUUACUGGGCGUAAAGGGUGCGUAGGUGGCGGGGUAAGUCUGGUGUGAAAGCUCCGAGCUCAACUCGGAAAAGCAUUGGAAACUAUCCCGCUUGAGGGUCGGAGGGGAGACUGGAAUUCUCGGUGUAGCAGUGAAAUGCGUAGAUAUCGAGAGGAACACCAGUGGCGAAGGCGAGUCUCUGGACGACUCCUGACACUGAGGCACGAAAGCUAGGGGAGCAAACAGG
RNAcentral lists this ribosomal RNA (252 nucleotides) under uncultured bacterium. Its description in RNAcentral is "partial 16S ribosomal RNA". It matches the Rfam family "Bacterial small subunit ribosomal RNA", at positions 524 to 776 of the family's 1533-position model. The record is from RNAcentral.